Trifolium pratense (red clover) is the source of this 4037-nucleotide long non-coding RNA. RefSeq lists it as uncharacterized. The transcript has 3 exons. The record is from RefSeq and is a predicted model, not a curated record. NCBI's taxonomy places the organism in Eukaryota, Viridiplantae, Streptophyta, Magnoliopsida, Fabales, Fabaceae.
AUUCAUCAUGACCAAUUUCAAAUUUAUUCAUUCUUGAAGACGCGUUACGUAACAAAUGAUUCUGAUCAGAUAUGACGUUUGAGUUCUCCGACGGUGCCGUUUAGGUUAACGAAUGUUGGUGUUUCUUCGCAAACGAUCUCGAAGAGGGAUGAAUGGAGAAGUGAAUCGGCGUCGAAGUUGGUGUACACUUUACGUAGUCUAAUGGUAGAGUCGGUAACAACUUUGUGGCGCUGCGUUUAGACAGGGCCAUUUGCAAUCACGCUUGGUUGAACCAUUGGCAAUCAACACAUUGUUGUGCACUUUACAAACAUUGCUCUGAUCAUCAUCCGUUAGUAAUUAGUCUGAGCGAAACAGAAGUUCAGCAUGCUAUGCCGUUUCGUUUCUUCAAGGUCUGAACAAAGCAUCCUGAUUGUGAAGGCCUGAUUAAGGAGGGUUGGAAUAAACAAGUGCUUGGAAAUCCUGCAGCGUGUCUUCAAUUGAAACUGAAACGUUUGAAUGGUGCACUUAAAGUUUGGAACAAGAACGUAUUUGGUAACGUGGAUUCAAAUGUUAAGCAAGCCGUGGAUGAGGUUAUGCAAAUUCAGAACAUGAUUGAUAGCAACGGUGUGACUGAUGAGGUACAACAAAUGGAUUAUAAGGCUCAAUUGAUUCUUUCGAAAGCCCUUUUGGAUUAAGACCAGUGCUGGAAGGAGAAAGCUCGGGUGCAACAUUUCAUGCAGGGAGAUAGAAAUACAACAUAUAUUCAUCGUGUGGCGAAAAUAAAGGCAAUAACGAAGAAAAUUCAUGUGAUUCAUAGUGAAACAGCAUCAUUGACUUCCGCAACAGACAUUGAGAACCAUAUUGUGCAAUACUUUCAGGGUAUCUUUGCCAACAGAAUGCGUGCACUGUUAAUAGCAUGGUGUGUGAUAUUAUUCCCUCGCUUGUAACGGAUGUGGAGACUGAGAUGUUAACCAAGGUUCCUUCCGCUGAAGAAUUUAAAGCUGCAGUUUUUGAUAUGAAUGGGGAUGGCGCUCCCGGUCCGGAUGGUUUUAGCGGCCAUUAAUUAUUUCCAAUGUUACUGACCUAUUAUUGCAACUGAUGUGGUGAAUGCAGUUAUGCAUUUCUUCUUUACUGGUAUGCUUAAUAACAAUGUUAAUUCCAAUCUGUUUGUGCUUAUACAGAAGUCACCGGGCGCUGAUAGAAUGGAAAACAUUCGACCCAUUGCUCUCGCAAAUUUUCAAUUUAAGAUAAUAACAAAACCGCCGGCGGACAGAUUGGCUUUCCUUGCUCCUUCAAUCAUUUCAACUCAGCAGCGAGGGUUCAUUCACGGGCGCAACAUUGCUGACUGGGUAAUCAUUGCGUCCGAGGCCAUAAAUGUUCUAGCUAAACGCUGCUUCGCUGGAAGUUUAGCUUUGAAAAUCGACAUUAAAAAGGUUUUCGACACGUUGGAUUCGAAUUUUCUUUUGGAGGUUUUGGAUCGUUUUGGUUUCAACUCAACUUUUUGUGGUUGGAUUCGUACAAUUCUUCAGUCAGCGUGAUUGUCCAUCCUUGUUAAUGGAAAGUCUGUUGGCUAUUUCGGUUGUACCCGAGGUGUCAGACAAGGGGAUCCACUCUCUCCCUUGUUAUUUUGCAUAGCGGAGGAAGUUGUUAGCCGAAGUUUACUGAAGGCUUUAGUGGAGGGCAGUCUUUGUCAUAUGUCUCUUUGCAGAGGGGUGCAUAUUCCAUCUCACGUGCUGUAUGCAGACGACAUAAUGAUAUUUUGCAAGGGCACGAAGAAAAAUAUCAGAGUUAUGGAGACGCCUCAGGCAAAUUAUUAACAAAGAAAAGAGCAAAUUUUAUGCAGGAUCUAUUUCAAAUGCUCGUCAGAUAGUUAUUUCCAACUUACUUGGGUUCAACUCAGGCAGUAUACCUUUUACAUACCUUGGUUGUCCUAUAUUCGUGGGUAAGCCUAAGAAAAUUCAUUUUCAAGCUUUGGCCGAUAAAAUCAAAAUCAAACUUGCUACUUGGAAAGGUUCUCUUCUCUCCAUUAUGGGUAGAGUUCAGUUGGUGCGUUCUGUGAUACAAUGGAUGCUGAUUUAUUCGUUCCAUAUCUAUCUCUGGCCUAAAAAUAUUUUACGGAAGUUAGACUCCAUGAUACACAAUUUUGUUUGGAGUGGCGACAUCAAUACUCGGAAAAUCUGCACAGUUGCAUGGAAACAAGUUUGUUCUUCCUAUGCCAAGGGAGGACUGGAGUUGCGUGCUCUGACAAAUAUGAAUAACUCACUCAUGCUUUUACUCUGCUAACUGAUGAGUAGUAAUGAGCAAUGGGCAGUGAUGUGUCGCGCUCGUUACUUGCGCCAAGGCAAACCCGCGAGUUCUUUUUUUCAUUCUUCUAUUUGGCAUGGCAUCAAAGUACACUUUAAUGAUGUGAGAAACAAUUCAUGUUGGUUGAUUGGUAACGGAGACAAAAUCUCAUAUUGGAAGGACAACUGGUUAGGCUCCUCUUUAGUGGAUUUACUCAACGUUCCUCUGUAAAUUCAUAAAUCGCUAAAUGCUUCGGUAGCGGAUAUGAUAAUUGAUGGCUCUUGGAUCAUCCCAAGCUGCAUUGCAGAGAUAGAUACUGAUGUUGUUGACUGUGUUCAUGGAGUCGUGCUUCCUAAAAUACCUCUUGAUGACAGGCUUGUCUGGACAGAUGCAAAGGACGGUUUUCCUAACGUCACAGCUGGCCUAUCGAUUUGUUUCUCCAAUUCUGAAUACAAGGAACUGGACUGAUUUUCUUUGGCAUGAUUUUGAUCCUACGUGGUUGUACUAUGGUUUCCGUAUGCGUUUUAUGUAUGGUUACUAGUGAAGCAACGCCACACCUAUUCCUCCACUGUUCAUUAGCUGUUGCGCUAUGGAAUUGGUUGGCUGAGCAGUUUCAGAUUGUUUUUAAUAUGGAUGGUAUGCAGGAUAUCUUUCAGAGUUACAAUCCGGCUUGGUGCUCUCAAGUAAAGGACCUUGCUUUAGCAGUGAUAAUUCAUACUUUUCACACAAUUUGGAUGACACGUAAUAAAUUACGUUUUAAUAAUGCCAAGGUUUCUAUUCACUCCGCCAAGAUAAAAAUUGGCACACUAAUAGCAGCUAGUUCUGCCAUGACCAAGAGCUUUGCUUCUAGCGCUACUGUUGACUUGCAGGUUUUGAGUAACAUUCAAGUUCCAGUGCAGCAACGUCCAAAGAAAAAAUCCCUCUUGGUAUUAUGGAAGGCUCCUCCUAUUUUUUGGACUAAGGUCAAUACCGAUGGUUCCUUUACUCAGACCUCUUCAGCUUGCGGAGGCAUAUUUUGUAAUCACCAUGCCAAUUAUUUAGGCAGUUUUGCGUCUUGUAUUUAUCAUAGCUCGGUUCUUUAUACGGAGAGCAUGGAAAUUGUGCUUGUAAUGGAAGAAGCGGCAGCUAGAGGGUGGUGGAAUAUUUGGUUAGAAAGUGACUCUAAGACUGCUUUAGGUGCUUUCACUAACUUUGAUAUAGUGCCGUGGGAUUUAUGAAAUCGUUGGAGCAACUGUUUUACCUUGGGUCUCAAUGCAAAGUACUCCCAUAUUUUUCGGGAAGGUAAUACAUGAGCAUAUAGGCUUGAUAGUGCAGGGCAUGCUGUUACUACUUUUACAUGGUGGGUGUCUCUUCUGUCAUGUAUCAGAGAUGAGUUUCUUCGUGAUAAGCUCGGGUUACCUAGUUACAGAAUUAUGUAGUUUACUUUGAUUGUCUUUAUUCGUGAUAAGCUCGGGUUACCUAGUUAUAGAAUUAUGUAGUUUACCCACUUUCAUAUAGGCAGCAUUAUGCUCUCUAAGAAUCAUAAAGAAAGUCCCAGACUUGGCAGAAAAUUUUGUAAAUCCUGCUGCUGCCUUACUGAGGGAGAAGCAAUGGAAUUUUGAUCACUAGGGUUCAGCUUUGUACAGAGCUAUGUAAAAUCAGCUCAGAAGCUCUUGAACUUAUUAGAAAGAAUAUCAAGAUAUCAUCGGCAUACAAUACAUGUGACGGGAUAACCACUCCUCUGCAGAACCUCAUGGGAUUAAUGCUGCCAGCGCUAUAUGCAGUAGACAAGCUGC